RNAcentral lists this ribosomal RNA (114 nucleotides) under Zingiber officinale. Lineage: Eukaryota; Viridiplantae; Streptophyta; Magnoliopsida; Zingiberales; Zingiberaceae. The record is from RNAcentral.
GCGAUCAUACCAGCACUAAUGCACCGGAUCCCAGCAGAACUUCGAAGUUAAGAGUGCUUGGGCGAGAGCAGUACUUGGAUCGGUGAUCCCCAGGGAUGUCCUCGUGUUGCACCU